UGCGUAGGCGGGCUAAUAAGUCAGUGGUGAAAUCUUCCGGCUCAACCGGGAACCUGCCAUUGAUACUGUUAGUCUUGAGUUCGGUUGAGGUAGGCGGAAUGUGUAAUGUAGCGGUGAAAUGCUUAGAUAUUACACAGAACACCAAUUGCGUAGGCAGCUUACUAGACCGACACUGACGCUGAGGCACGAAAGCGUGGGGAGCGAACAGGAUUAGUUACCCUGGUAGUCC
Molecule: ribosomal RNA, 229 nt
Filed under: uncultured bacterium
Lineage: Bacteria
Description: partial 16S ribosomal RNA
Rfam family: Bacterial small subunit ribosomal RNA
Source: RNAcentral